This 253-nucleotide ribosomal RNA is filed under the name uncultured bacterium. Its description in RNAcentral is "partial 16S ribosomal RNA". It matches the Rfam family "Bacterial small subunit ribosomal RNA", at positions 524 to 776 of the family's 1533-position model. The record is from RNAcentral.
UACGUAGGGUGCGAGCGUUAAUCGGAAUUACUGGGCGUAAAGCGUGCGUAGGCGGUCCCGCAAGUCCGCUGUGAAAGCCCCGGGCUUAACCUGGGAAUGGCAGUGGAAACUAUGGGACUUGAAUCCGGCAGAGGGGGGUGGAAUGCCACGUGUAGCAGUGAAAUGCGUAGAGAUGUGGCGGAACACCGAUGGCGAAGGCAGCCCCCUGGGCCGAGAUUGACGCUCAGGCACGAAAGCGUGGGGAGCAAACAGG